This 847-nucleotide ribosomal RNA is filed under the name Salmonella sp. Its description in RNAcentral is "bacterial SSU rRNA". It matches the Rfam family "Bacterial small subunit ribosomal RNA", at positions 1 to 775 of the family's 1533-position model. The record is from RNAcentral. Lineage: Bacteria; Pseudomonadati; Pseudomonadota; Gammaproteobacteria; Enterobacterales; Enterobacteriaceae.
CCCAAUUUUCAGAGUGAACACGUAAUUCAUUACGAAGUUUAAUUCUUUGAGCAUCAAACUUUUAAAUUGAAGAGUUUGAUCAUGGCUCAGAUUGAACGCUGGCGGCAGGCCUAACACAUGCAAGUCGAACGGUAACAGGAAGCAGCUUGCUGCUUCGCUGACGAGUGGCGGACGGGUGAGUAAUGUCUGGGAAACUGCCUGAUGGAGGGGGAUAACUACUGGAAACGGUGGCUAAUACCGCAUAACGUCGCAAGACCAAAGAGGGGGACCUUCGGGCCUCUUGCCAUCAGAUGUGCCCAGAUGGGAUUAGCUAGUUGGUGAGGUAACGGCUCACCAAGGCGACGAUCCCUAGCUGGUCUGAGAGGAUGACCAGCCACACUGGAACUGAGACACGGUCCAGACUCCUACGGGAGGCAGCAGUGGGGAAUAUUGCACAAUGGGCGCAAGCCUGAUGCAGCCAUGCCGCGUGUAUGAAGAAGGCCUUCGGGUUGUAAAGUACUUUCAGCGGGGAGGAAGGUGUUGUGGUUAAUAACCGCAGCAAUUGACGUUACCCGCAGAAGAAGCACCGGCUAACUCCGUGCCAGCAGCCGCGGUAAUACGGAGGGUGCAAGCGUUAAUCGGAAUUACUGGGCGUAAAGCGCACGCAGGCGGUCUGUCAAGUCGGAUGUGAAAUCCCCGGGCUCAACCUGGGAACUGCAUUCGAAACUGGCAGGCUUGAGUCUUGUAGAGGGGGGUAGAAUUCCAGGUGUAGCGGUGAAAUGCGUAGAGAUCUGGAGGAAUACCGGUGGCGAAGGCGGCCCCCUGGACAAAGACUGACGCUCAGGUGCGAAAGCGUGGGAGCAAACAG